UUGCCCUUUGACGGUCAAGGCCUAUUUUCUGAAAAGACUGACUCCAGGCUGCAGAGUCUAAAGGACAACAGGAUCAUCAUGCGCUCCCUCGGGAUGCACACCCCGGUGACUCAGCACAGACACUUUAGGUCGCAAUAACA
Non-coding RNA from Chelonoidis abingdonii (Abingdon island giant tortoise), 140 nucleotides. Lineage: Eukaryota; Metazoa; Chordata; Testudines; Testudinidae. The record is from RefSeq and is a predicted model, not a curated record.